GCUUCGUGGAACUUAAAACAAAUGUGUCUUUUUCGUGCUGCUCAAAAACUACCAUCGAAUACAACAAAAUACCAUCGGCUGAUUUUCUAGCAUUCAUCGGCCAGUUUUUUUUUUCGAUCUGAGUAGAGCCGCUAGAAACAGUUUGUGCGUGACCAUGGUGAUAUUACGUUUAGUUAUUUCAGCAUGGGCGCAAAUACAUUUCUUAUCGGUUCAGUCCAUG
Molecule: long non-coding RNA, 220 nt
Filed under: Drosophila guanche
Lineage: Eukaryota; Metazoa; Arthropoda; Insecta; Diptera; Drosophilidae
Source: RNAcentral